Long non-coding RNA from Rana temporaria (common frog), 287 nucleotides. RefSeq lists it as uncharacterized. Lineage: Eukaryota; Metazoa; Chordata; Amphibia; Anura; Ranidae. The transcript is spliced from 3 exons. The record is from RefSeq and is a predicted model, not a curated record.
CGUGGCUGUGCUAGCCACAAAUGUCAGUCUGCAUUUAAACAAUCAACAAGCAGCACACAUGCUGCAGGCUCUGGGAAACACGGACCAUUGCAACACUAAGCGGGACUGUUUGGUGCAUCAAUCUUUAAAUGAUCUUCUUAGGAUGAUCCGAAGAAGGUUUCCAUCCACUUGAUUGACUCAUUUUGAUGUGUUUUUACUUUUAAUUUGACAAGUUGAGUUCAGUUCUAACAUCACUCCUUAAGAAGCUCUCACGAGCGAAACAUGUAGAGAGAUCUGCAACAAGUUGU